CCCUUAGACGUUCUGGGCCGCACGCGCGCUACACUGACGAAGGCAACGAGCUUUCCUUUACCGAAAGGUACGGGUAAUCUUUUGAAACUUCGUCGUGCUGGGGAUAGAUCCUUGCAAUUUUUGAUCUUAAACGAGGAAUGCCUAGUAAGCGCAAGUCAUCAACUUGCGUUGAUUACGUCCCUGCCCUUUGUACACACCGCCCGUCGCUACUACCGAUUGAAUGGUUUAGUGAGGCCUUCGGAUCCGCGACUCGUUUAUGGAGAAGUUGGACAAACUCAGUCAUUUAGAGGAAGUAAAAGUCGUAACA
Molecule: ribosomal RNA, 307 nt
Filed under: uncultured eukaryote
Lineage: Eukaryota
Description: partial 18S ribosomal RNA
Rfam family: Eukaryotic small subunit ribosomal RNA
Source: RNAcentral